GCAGGGAUAAAAACUCCGGUGGUACAGGAUGGACCCGCGUAUGAUUAGCUGGUUGGUGAGGUAACGGCUCACCAAGGCGACGAUCAGUAGCCGGCUUGAGAGAGUGAACGGCCACAUUGGGACUGAGACACGGCCCAAACUCCUACGGGAGGCAGCAGUGGGGAAUAUUGCACAAUGGGGGAAACCCUGAUGCAGCGACGCCGCGUGAGUGAAGAAGUAUCUCGGUAUGUAAAGCUCUAUCAGCAGGGAAGAAAAUGACGGUACCUGACUAAGAAGCCCCGGCUAACUACGUGCCAGCAGCCGCGGUAAUACGUAGGGGGCAAGCGUUAUCCGGAAUUACUGGGUGUAAAGGGUGCGUAGGUGGUAUGGCAAGUCAGAAGUGAAAACCCAGGGCUUAACUCUGGGACUGCUUUUGAAACUGUCAGACUGGAGUGCAGGAGAGGUAAGCGGAAUUCCUAGUGUAGCGGUGAAAUGCGUAGAUAUUAGGAGGAACAUCAGUGGCGAAGGCGGCUUACUGGACUGAAACUGACACUGAGGCACGAAAGCGUGGGGAGCAAACAGGAUUAGAUACCCUGGUAGUCCACGCCGUAAACGA
This 595-nucleotide ribosomal RNA is filed under the name uncultured bacterium. RNAcentral describes it as "bacterial SSU rRNA". It matches the Rfam family "Bacterial small subunit ribosomal RNA", at positions 194 to 809 of the family's 1533-position model. The record is from RNAcentral.